CAGCCUGCCCAGUGACACAACUGUUAAACGGCCGCGGUACUCUGACCGUGCGAAGGUAGCAUAAUCACUUGUUCUUUAAAUGGGGACUAGUAUCAACGGUGCCACGAGGGCUUCCCUGUCUCCUUUUUCCAAUCAGUGAAACUGAUCUCCCUGUGAAGAAGCAGGGAUACUAAUAUAAGACGAGAAGACCCCAUGGAGCUUUAAACUCAACAGACAACCCGACACAUAUUUUUUCAUCUUAGUCAUCAAAAAGCCAUGUUUGUUAGUUUUAGGUUGGGGUGACCAUGGAGUAAAACUUAACCUCCACGACGCACGGGACUUGCUACUCCCUUAUCCAAGAGCCACGACUCUAAGAAUUAAAAUAUUAACGUAAAAUGAUCCAAGCAUUUGAUCAACGGACCAAGUUACCCUGGGGAUAACAGCGCAAUCCAUUUCGAGAGCUCCUAUCGACAAGUGGGUUUACGACCUCGAUGUUGGAUCAGGGUAUCCCAGUGGUGCAGCCGCUACUAAUGGUUUGUUUGUUCAACAAUUAAAACCCUACGUGAUCUGA
Molecule: ribosomal RNA, 550 nt
Filed under: Sphaerotheca pashchima
Lineage: Eukaryota; Metazoa; Chordata; Amphibia; Anura; Dicroglossidae
Description: partial 16S ribosomal RNA
Rfam family: Bacterial large subunit ribosomal RNA
Source: RNAcentral